AUGGCAGUCCUGUAUUUUUUAAAAACGUCUCAACAGCUCAACUUUUAUGUCCUGGAGGAAUAUUUGUUGAGGUUACAUUGAUGGAGGGAGAUAAAGCCAUUUUGAAUAUUGCACUGGUGUGCAAAAGCUUCUGGGACAUUGUGUCAACCAAAAGUUUCUGAAGAAAAGCACAUUAUCGAUGGCUGGAAAGUGUCAUUAACCUGAGGUCAUACUCAAAAGAGUAUCAGAAGGAACUGACAAGAAUGUAUUCAGUUGAGACAUGCAUGACAUGUAGGACAUUAUAUAAAGUCUUUCCUGGAGGAUGCAUUGGUCGGGGAAAGAGCGGACAGCUGGACGGCAUCUACAGUGAUCCACAUCCUCACCCAGGAUUCUGCAGCCACAAUUGUGCCAUGAUUGUUAAUGCCAUGUAAAA
Amphiprion ocellaris (clown anemonefish) is the source of this 412-nucleotide long non-coding RNA. RefSeq lists it as uncharacterized. The transcript is spliced from 3 exons. The record is from RefSeq and is a predicted model, not a curated record. Lineage: Eukaryota; Metazoa; Chordata; Actinopteri; Pomacentridae.